RNAcentral lists this non-coding RNA (101 nucleotides) under unclassified sequences. Its description in RNAcentral is "PhotoRC-II RNA". It matches the Rfam family "PhotoRC-II RNA". The record is from RNAcentral.
CACCCUUGCUACAAACUGCUCGCAAACCGAGACCUACAGGCAGUAUAAUAAUUCGUCUCUCAUAUCCAGAAGGGAAGGGAUUUCUGGAAAUAUAGUAUCGC